RNAcentral lists this small nucleolar RNA (106 nucleotides) under Cephalotus follicularis. RNAcentral's name for it is "Plant small nucleolar RNA R71". It matches the Rfam family "Plant small nucleolar RNA R71". Rfam says of the family: R71 is a member of the C/D box family of snoRNAs containing the C (UGAUGA) and D (CUGA) box motifs. The record is from Rfam by way of RNAcentral. Lineage: Eukaryota; Viridiplantae; Streptophyta; Magnoliopsida; Oxalidales; Cephalotaceae.
CAACAUGAUGGGGACAUUUUCUGAUGAGGUCCUUUAAUCUUUCGUAUGACUCAUGGAACUAUUCACCAUCUUGCUGUGAGAAGCUAGUGAGAGAUCAUCUUAUUUG